CAAUAGCGUAUAUUUAAGUUGUUGCAGUUAAAAAGCUCGUAGUUGGAUUUCGGUUAAGAGCGACCGGUCCGCCGUUUGGUGUGCACUGGUUGGUUUUAACUUCCUGUAGAGGACGUGCUCUGGGUUUAACGACCUGGACUCGGAGUCUACGUGGUUACUUUGAAAAAAUUAGAGUGUUCAAAGCGGGCUUACGCUUGAAUAUUUCAGCAUGGAAUAACACUAUAGGACUCCUGUCCUAUUUCGUUGGUCUCGGGACGGGAGUAAUGAUUAAGAGGAACAGUUGGGGGCAUUCGUAUUUCAUUGUCAGAGGUGAAAUUCUUGGAUUUACGAAAGACGAACUUCUGCGAAAGCAUUUGCCAAGGAUGUUUUCAUUAA
RNAcentral lists this ribosomal RNA (375 nucleotides) under uncultured eukaryote. RNAcentral's name for it is "partial 18S ribosomal RNA". It matches the Rfam family "Eukaryotic small subunit ribosomal RNA", at positions 592 to 976 of the family's 1831-position model. The record is from RNAcentral.